This 262-nucleotide ribosomal RNA is filed under the name uncultured bacterium. RNAcentral's name for it is "partial 16S ribosomal RNA". It matches the Rfam family "Bacterial small subunit ribosomal RNA", at positions 793 to 1055 of the family's 1533-position model. The record is from RNAcentral.
GUCCACGCCGUAAACGAUGGAUACUAGCUGUUUGGAGCAAUCUGAGUGGCUAAGCGAAAGUGAUAAGUAUCCCACCUGGGGAGUACGCUCGCAAAGAGUGAAACUCAAAAGGAAUUGACGGGGGCCCGCACAAGCGGAGGAGCAUGUGGUUUAAUUCGAUGAUACGCGAGGAACCUUACCAAGGCUUAAAAUGGGAAAACGACAGGACUGGAAAACAGUUUUUUCUUCGGAACGUUUUUCAAAGGUGCUGCAUGGUUGUCGU